UCUGUAGGUGAAACUGCGGAGGGAUCAUUACCGAGUUUACAACUCCCAAACCCCAUGGUGAACGUUACCAAACUGUUGCCUCGGCGGGAUUUCUGCCCCGGGCGCGUCGCAGCCCCGGACCAAGGCGCCCGCCGGAGGACCAAUUUACAAACUCUUUUGUAUAUCCCAUCGCGGAUUCUUUACAUUCUGAGCUUUCUCGGCGCUCCUAGCGAGCGUUUCGAAAAUGAAUCAAAACUUUCAACAACGGAUCUCUUGGUUCUGGCAUCGAUGAAGAACGCAGCGAAAUGCGAUAAGUAAUGUGAAUUGCAGAAUUCAGUGAAUCAUCGAAUCUUUGAACGCACAUUGCGCCCGCCAGUAUUCUGGCGGGCAUGCCUGUCCGAGCGUCAUUUCAACCCUCGAACCCCUCCGGGGGGUCGGCGUUGGGGAUCGGCACUUACCUGCCGGCCCCGAAAUACAGUGGCGGUCUCGCCGCAGCCUCUCCUGCGCAGUAGUUUGCACACUCGCACCGGGAGCGCGGCGCGUCCACGGCCGUAAAACAACCCAAACUUCUGAAAUGUUGACCUCGGAUCAGGUAGGAAUACCCGC
RNAcentral lists this ribosomal RNA (585 nucleotides) under Trichoderma brevicompactum. Its description in RNAcentral is "eukaryotic LSU rRNA". The stretch from base 233 to 386 matches the Rfam family "5.8S ribosomal RNA". The record is from RNAcentral. Lineage: Eukaryota; Fungi; Ascomycota; Sordariomycetes; Hypocreales; Hypocreaceae.